UAAAGAGCGACAAAGGUGGCUCCUAUGCUCACCACGUGGCAGACAUAUAAAUAAAGAUUUGGAUCCAACUCCUAUAUUCUUUUUAACAUAUGCCAAUCACACUCUUUACUUCUUUCUUCUUUUCUUUUUUUUUUUUUUACUUUUUGACCACAAAAUGUUAACUAGUAUAUAUGUAAGACUGUAAGUUUCAAUAAAAAUAUAAAACCUUUUCCUCAAAAUAUUAAAAAAAAAAAACUCGGUUAUUACGCAGGUUAACGUAGUUUUAAACUCUAUUGCAUUAAAAAAAAAUUAAUAGCUCAUAAUAUUUUUUUUUUUUUUUUUUUUUUAACUUAUGGUAAAUCUCCAGACCUAUGGAAGGAUCCAAAACUAAUCCCUGGGGAGAUGGUAUCCCACGGGUAGAGUCUACCCAGGUUUUCAAAUGGGCCUUAAGCAAGAGGCAUAUACCCAUGUGGCUAAAGGGAUAAAUCUAGCAAUUCUGCGUCUGAGGAGAAUCGAUCCCUGGCCUAGACCAACAUGACGACUCUUCCACCGGAUUAGAACCAGUAGUCCACCACCUCCAAUAAAAAUAUAAAACCCUUUCCUCAAAGUGAUUAAAAAAAAAAACUCGGUUAUUACGCAGGUUAACAUUAGUUUUAAACUCUAUUGCAUUAAAAAAAA
This 657-nucleotide long non-coding RNA is filed under the name Capsella rubella. RNAcentral's name for it is "long non-coding RNA (CRUB_LNC005200)". Lineage: Eukaryota; Viridiplantae; Streptophyta; Magnoliopsida; Brassicales; Brassicaceae. The record is from RNAcentral.